GGGACACGUGGUAUCCUGUCUGAAUAUGGGGGGACCAUCCUCCAAGGCUAAAUACUCCUGACUGACCGAUAGUGAACCAGUACCGUGAGGGAAAGGCGAAAAGAACCCCGGCGAGGGGAGUGAAAAAGAACCUGAAACCGUGUACGUACAAGCAGUGGGAGCACGCUUAGGCGUGUGACUGCGUACCUUUUGUAUAAUGGGUCAGCGACUUAUAUUCUGUAGCAAGGUUAACCGAAUAGGGGAGCCGAAGGGAAACCGAGUCUUAACUGGGCGUUAAGUUGCAGGGUAUAGACCCGAAACCCGGUGAUCUAGCCAUGGGCAGGUUGAAGGUUGGGUAACACUAACUGGAGGACCGAACCGACUAAUGUUGAAAAAUUAGCGGAUGACUUGUGGCUGGGGGUGAAAGGCCAAUCAAACCGGGAGAUAGCUGGUUCUCCCCGAAAGCUAUUUAGGUAGCGCCUCGUGAAUUCAUCUCCGGGGGUAGAGCACUGUUUCGGCAAGGGGGUCAUCCCGACUUACCAACCCGAUGCAAACUGCGAAUACCGGAGAAUGUUAUCACGGGAGACACACGGCGGGUGCUAACGUCCGUCG
RNAcentral lists this ribosomal RNA (591 nucleotides) under Escherichia coli. Its description in RNAcentral is "partial 23S ribosomal RNA". It matches the Rfam family "Bacterial large subunit ribosomal RNA", at positions 419 to 1010 of the family's 2925-position model. The record is from RNAcentral. Lineage: Bacteria; Pseudomonadati; Pseudomonadota; Gammaproteobacteria; Enterobacterales; Enterobacteriaceae.